AACCAACAUGUUUCAAUUAUUUGCUCCUAAGAACAACAGAAGUUUCAACAUUCUGCCAGCUGAAUAACUCCUGGAAGACUGGUAGAGGAGAAGGCAUAAAGCAAAUACCCAUCUCUGUAUACCCUGUGCUACUGUGCCAUGAGCUGCUCUGGGCAACCCCAAUGGAUUGAGCACCCUGGCCAAUUUGUUCUACUAUGUUAGGUUUACGUUCCCCUGCUUUUUACAUUCCUGUUCGAAGAGUUUCUGACUUAACCACAGAGAGAAUUCCAGAACAUGAGAAACAGAAUAAACUUGAGCAAUCAUAGUCCAUCUACUUCAUUUUCUCAUCAAAAACCAAAGGCCCAGUGAAGCUCUGGAACUUGACGCUGUAAAUGACUGAAGGGGCCUCUACACAGAGCUUCAAUCCCUGUCUCCUUACCCUACGUCCGCAGACUUGACUGCGAUCUGGAUUAUGCUGCUUUCUAAGCAUUUAAAAUAAAAUAAGAAGUUUAA
Non-coding RNA from Saimiri boliviensis boliviensis (Bolivian squirrel monkey), 492 nucleotides. The record is from RefSeq and is a predicted model, not a curated record. Lineage: Eukaryota; Metazoa; Chordata; Mammalia; Primates; Cebidae.